Molecule: non-coding RNA, 423 nt
Filed under: Alligator mississippiensis (American alligator)
Lineage: Eukaryota; Metazoa; Chordata; Crocodylia; Alligatoridae
Description: Eukaryotic large subunit ribosomal RNA
Rfam family: Eukaryotic large subunit ribosomal RNA
Source: Rfam by way of RNAcentral
AGUUCCUGGUUGAGCUUGACCCUAGCUGGCACUGUGAAGAGACAGGAGAGGUGCAGAAUACGUGGGAAGCCCCCAGGCUGCUGGUGAAACACCGCUACUUCUCUCCUUAUUUCACUUACCCGGUGGGGGGAGCCCCAAGUGCCUGGCACAUGCUGGGCACGACCCGCUCUGGGGACAGCGUCAGGAGGGGAGUUCAACCGGGGCGCUGCACCUGUCCCACCGCAGUGCAGGUGUCCUAAGGCGAGCUCAGGGAGGACAGAAACCUCCCGCGGAGCAGAAGGGCAAAAGCUUGCUCUGUCUUGAUUUUUGGGACGAAUGCAGCUGUGAAAGCGGGGCCUCACAAUCCUCCUGGCUUCUGGAGUUCAAAGCAGGAGGCGUCAGAAAAGUUACCCCAGGGAUAACUGGCUUGUCUUUAUGCAAGCU